ACCUCAGUACGCAAUUUGGCAAAGCGGCUACAUUUAGGAUGUAGUGAUUUAUUUGUGGGUUCGACUCCCAUCUGAGGUA
Molecule: transfer RNA, 79 nt
Filed under: Crassvirales sp.
Lineage: Duplodnaviria; Heunggongvirae; Uroviricota; Caudoviricetes; Crassvirales
Description: tRNA-Leu
Rfam family: tRNA
About the family: Transfer RNA (tRNA) molecules are approximately 80 nucleotides in length. Their secondary structure includes four short double-helical elements and three loops (D, anti-codon, and T loops).
Source: RNAcentral